AUGGCAGAAGUGGAUCGUAUGGCUUGUGAAACCAUGUGGGGGUCAAGAGUGACGGGCUGCUGGGGUCAGAAGGAUGUUCACGUGACAAUCGUGAAUGUGUAUGUGCCUUGUGUCGCUGCGGAAUCUCCAACAGUUCAAAGGGCUUAUGGGGUCGUCAAUGAAAGACUCAUCACCAUUUGGUUCGCAUGUGUAUGGACAGUUUGGAGGAGACGAAACAAGAUUAUUCUUGGAAGGCCAAGGAGAUACGAAUCAUCAUUCAUAGAAGACAUUCAAUUGGCAUUUGGGAAGUGGACCAAAAGUAAGAUCAGAGGCGAGACUUGGGGGCAUUGGAAGAGGUGUCGUGCGUCCAGUCUUCGUUUUGGUUUCUCAUCAGUGCAAGUGGAGCUGGUCUGGAGUCUUAUCGGUGCAUUUAAAUAUGGAAUAUAG
Molecule: non-coding RNA, 426 nt
Organism: Vicia faba (fava bean)
Lineage: Eukaryota; Viridiplantae; Streptophyta; Magnoliopsida; Fabales; Fabaceae
Source: the annotation of a GenBank genome assembly